This 687-nucleotide ribosomal RNA is filed under the name uncultured Wolbachia sp. RNAcentral describes it as "bacterial SSU rRNA". It matches the Rfam family "Bacterial small subunit ribosomal RNA", at positions 94 to 816 of the family's 1533-position model. The record is from RNAcentral. Lineage: Bacteria; Pseudomonadati; Pseudomonadota; Alphaproteobacteria; Rickettsiales; Anaplasmataceae.
AGCGGCAGACGGGUGAGUAACGCGUGGGAAUCUACCCGGAACUACGGAAUAACAUGAAGAAAUUUAUGCUAAUACCGUAUACGCCCUUUUGGGGAAAGAUUUAUUGGUUUCGGAUGAGCCCGCGUUGGAUUAGCUUGUUGGUAGGGUAAUGGCCUACCAAGGCGACGAUNCAUAGCUGGUCUGAGAGGAUGAUCAGCCACACUGGGACUGAGACACGGCCCAGACUCCUACGGGAGGCAGCAGUGGGGAAUAUUGGACAAUGGGCGCAAGCCUGAUCCAGCCAUGCCGCGUGAGUGAUGAAGGCCUUAGGGUUGUAAAGCUCUUUCACCGGUGAANAUAAUGACGGUAACCGGANAAGAAGCCCCGGCUAACUUCGUGCCAGCNGCCGCGGUAAUACGAAGGGGGCUAGCGUUGUUCGGAUUUACUGGGCGUAAAGCGCACGCAGGCGGAUAUUUAAGUCAGAGGUGAAAUCCCGGGGCUCAACCCUGGAAUUGCNUUUGAUACUGGGUAUNUGGAGUACAGAANAGGUAAGUGGAAUUCCGAGUGUAGAGGUGAAAUUCGUAGAUAUUCGGAGGAACACCAGUGGCGAAGGCGGCUUACUGGUCUGUUACUGACGCUGAGGUGCGAAAGCGUGNGGAGCAAACAGGAUUAGAUACCCUGGUAGUCCACGCUGUNAACGAUGGAAGC